Molecule: transfer RNA, 73 nt
Filed under: Thermoplasmata archaeon
Lineage: Archaea; Methanobacteriati; Thermoplasmatota; Thermoplasmata
Also listed under: 1 other name
Description: tRNA-Ala
Rfam family: tRNA
About the family: Transfer RNA (tRNA) molecules are approximately 80 nucleotides in length. Their secondary structure includes four short double-helical elements and three loops (D, anti-codon, and T loops).
Source: RNAcentral
GGGGUUGUAGCUCAGUUGGGAGAGCGCUGCUUUCGCACGGCAGAGGUCAGGGGUUCGACUCCCCUCAGCUCCA